Molecule: long non-coding RNA, 364 nt
Organism: Passer domesticus (house sparrow)
Lineage: Eukaryota; Metazoa; Chordata; Aves; Passeriformes; Passeridae
Exons: 3
Source: RefSeq, a predicted model, not a curated record
GCACUACUCAAUCAGACUCUCUCUAUAUUUUUUCCCAUUAUAGUAAUGAGGAAAUAUUGUGUUUUGACUCUUACAGUGAUUUCCUUUCUGUUUUAGGAGGACCUAUGCAUGUUUUAAAAAUAUUAUCCCUCCCUCCUUUGUUGGUGAACAUAGGAUUCUAAACACAUUUGGUUUUGAUUUACACCUGUUCUCCAUACCAAAUCAGAUCAAAUACUGAACAAAAAGAAGCAAGAGGAUUCUAACCUGGAGAGAGUUCCCUAGCUCACUUGGGAUGCCUUUCAAGUGUAAGAGAGCCAUGAGGACAAAAUGAGAGCAGGAAGAUAAAAGUCUGACAGCUUUUAUGGCAAAUAAAUGAACAGUGUUG